GAGCUGUUCCCUUCUCCUUUCUCCGGGACGACCCCGUUGGCCGCGUUCUCUGUCCCGUUCUCGAUCCCCAUCGUCCCGUUCUCGAUCCGGUUCUAGAUCUCGGCCAUCCCCAUCUUCAUCCCGUUCUUGAUCUCGGCUGCCCCGUUCUCGAUCCAGUUCUUGAUCCCCAUUGUCCCGUUCUCGAUCUGGGCCGUCCCAUUUUUGGUCCCCCUCUAGAGCUUGAUAACCCAGUUCUUGAUCCCUGUCAUUCAGUUCCUGAUCCUGUUCCAGAUCCUGGUUGUGCUGUUCUUGACCCUGUGCUAGAUCCCAAUCAUCCCGUUCUUGAGCGCAUUCUAGAUCCCGAUCACCCCAGUCUCCAUCCUGUUCUUGAUCCCAAUUGACCAGUUCUUCUUCCAGUUCUACACCCAAAUUGCUGUGCUCUAGAGCAUGUUCUAGAUCACAAAUAGCGUGUUCUCGAUCACAACGGUCUCCUUCCUGAUCAUCCAAUCCCUGAUCACGUUGACAUCUCUGGCCCCGCUCUAGAUCUGGUUCAUGUUGUUCUAGACCUGGUUGACAUCGUUCUUGGUCCGGUUGACAUUGUUCUCCAUCCGGCUGGCACGGUUCUUGAUCCACUUGAUGCGGUUCUCGAUCUGGCUGGCGCCAUUCUGCAUCCGGCUGAUGUUCUCGUUUCGGUUGACAUCGCUGACCCUGUUCUUGACCUGGUUGAUGUUCUCGAUCCCGUUGACGCUGUUCUCGAUCCCGGUGACAUUGCUGUUGGUGCAGUUGACGCUGCUGACCCCGUUCUCGCUCCUGUUGAUCAUGUUCUCGAUCCACCUGACACUGCUGACAACGUUCUUGAUCCUGUUGAUGUUGUUGGCUGUGUUCUCCAUCCUGCUGACCCCGUUCUCGCUCCAGUUGACGCUGCCGACCCCGUUCUCGAUCUGGUUGACCCCGUUCUUGAUCCCGUUGACAUCUACUCUGCUGUUCUUGAUGUGGUUGACCUGGUUCUUGAUCCAGUUGGCCCCGUUCUCGAUCUGGUUGACCCCAUUCCUGAUCCUGUUGGCGUUUCCUCUGCUGUUCCCGAUUUGGUUGACCCCAUUCUUGAUCUGGCUGACGCCGUUCUUGAUCCCGUUGAUGCUCGCUCUGCCGUUCCCGAUUCGCUUGAUCCCGUUCUCGAUCCGGUUGACCCCGUUCUCGAUCCCGCCGUGCCGCCGCGGGUUUCGCCGCCUCCUCGGCCUCGUCGGGCUCCAAACCCAGAACCAACCACGAGUGGAUGAGGGACGGGACGUAUCCUUGCACCAGCGGCUCCAACAACGCCGGCUGCCCCAUUAAGCGCUGCAGCAAACGAAGGGCGCGGGGGGCGGGGUCCGGGACCCCCGUCAGAUAGCGGAGGAAGCCCGUCACCACGGGGGGGGAAGCGAAAGCGGGGCUGGGGUCGUCGAAGGAAGCCAGGCGCCCCAAAAGGAGGAGGGCGGGAGCUUCGGGGCGCCAUGGGUCGCCGUCGCCGAGAGAGCGGGGCAAGGCCAGGGCGCGGAGAGGGGCUAAAAGGG
Molecule: long non-coding RNA, 1529 nt
Filed under: Numida meleagris (helmeted guineafowl)
Lineage: Eukaryota; Metazoa; Chordata; Aves; Galliformes; Numididae
Description: lncRNA (ENSNMEG00000001902.1)
Source: RNAcentral